Non-coding RNA from Sporothrix brasiliensis 5110, 73 nucleotides. The record is from the annotation of a RefSeq genome assembly. Lineage: Eukaryota; Fungi; Ascomycota; Sordariomycetes; Ophiostomatales; Ophiostomataceae.
GUAGAUAUAGCUUAAUAGGUAGAGCGCUUGAGUGUGGAUCAAGCUGUUUUUGGUUCGAGUCCAAAUAUUUACC